CAAAGACCCCCGAGUGGGUUGAAACGACGGAUGCAGGGCACUGGGCCCAGGAGAGAGGGGUCAGCCUUUGCUUCCAUAAUAUUGAAAUCACCCACUUGCGUGUCCGUCUUUUCCUCGGGCUGUGACCUCCUUCAAUGGUCUGUGUCCCACUCGUCUUUCAGUCCCUCCUCCCCAUCGUCUAGCAGGGCGCCUGGCUCCCUAUAAGUUUAGCUCAAUAAAUGUUAAGUUGAACGGCGGCAGAUCUUUGCAUCGGUCCAAUCCCGAGCUUCUGUACAGAAAGCAAGAUAAACACGUUCCACUCAGGGGGCCGGCGUUCUCUUGUUCCUUUGGAGGGGCUAUGGGGGAUUCAGGGGGUACUUUAAUACUCCCGAGUGGAGGGAGCUGUCAGACAGCCGGCCCUCUGCAAGGGACAGUCGAAGGAGUUGGGAAGGUGCGUGCGCCCCUCUCACCAGGCCCGCGGAUGCUGGGUGGUACCCAAGGAGGCGCUCGGAUGGGUCACUACGGAUGGAGCUAAGCCAGGGAUCUUCUGCACGAACUUCUCCCAUCUCAGAGCAUCCUCGUCCUUCUAUGUCACUGAACUGGCCGUCUCCAUCUGGCAACUGGGAAGAGUCUGCCUCCAGGGCGCCGGGGGUGGGGAGGAGGGCAGAGCGCAGGAUUGCGGAAUGCGCGGCGCACACGCGAGCGGGCAUCACCGCGGGCUUCGCGCCGGCUCGCUUAGGCUCCGGCGCGGGCGCAGCCAGGACCCCGGCCCGGUGCGGAGCGCGCCCUCCCCCACGCCAUCUGGGCCUCCGGCGGCCCAGGCCCGUCCCGCCUCCCCGAGGCCUUCCGCGGCUCGGUGUCCCACGCUGCCCCGGCGGCGGGCGGACGGCAGCGCGGGCCGCCGGUGAGCCGGGGCGAGCGGGGGCCGAGGACGCACGCGGCCGGACGGGCGGCGCGCGCUCCCCUCCCCCGCCCCGGCCGGCAGCGCGAGCCGCCGUUGACGUCACGGGCGCCCGCCUGCCCUGCGCUCCACUGGGCAGAGCGUGCGCGGCCGGCCGCCGAGCACAUGGGCCCGCGGGCCGGCGGGCUCGGGGCGGCCUGGCCCGGGAGGAGCGGCGAGGGGGCGCCAGCAAGGAUGGGCCGCGGCACCCCCGGCCCCCGGCGAGUGGAUUUCCACGCGGGAAGGAGGUUGGCGGCGCCGGUGACCUUCGGAGACACGGCUGGAUCCACCUUCCACUCUACCCAGCAGAGAAGGGGGUUGUAUGGAUCCUCUGAACCCGGAGUGGAACUUCCCGAAAGAUUUAUUAGGAGAAAAACCUUCCUGGAAGCCGCAGCAGGACAAACACAGAAUUGCUGGCUGGGCAGAGCCUCGUGGCCUGGUCCCCACUAUUUGAGAAGAGUCACAUCUCGGAGGACCUGGAGACACAAAGAUGGAGAGACCCAGUCUGUGGGGAUGCAGAGGUGAAAGAAGCAGAAUAUAAAGGCAGUGAUGAUUAGAGCGCCAUUAAUUUGGAAGGUGGAAACAUUGGUGAACAGUAUGUACAUCAUUCUGCAUCUGAAUGGCCUUCCCCUCGCAUCCCAGCAGUAGACGCUGAUCACGGGUCCUUUCUGCACAGCUCUCUGUUCGCCCUGGGAUUUCAGAUUGCCUCCUCUUGAACUACUGAUCUGUAGCCUCCUCUUGUUGAACCUAGCUGUUUGAUUGAAGUCUCUCCCCUCAUUUUUCCCCAGCCCCGUGUCUCAGAUCGCUCCCUUGGGGACCCCCCCUCCCCUCUGUGUUCUGGUUCCUGUGGACCUGCUGUGGUGUUGCGGCUCCCGGGACUUCCCUUCUCUGCUUUCCACAGCUCUUCUGGGCUUGAGCCCCUUUUUACUGGGCUCCCCAUCAAUCUCUUUCUGAGUUGCCUCCCUGAUUUUGCAGGAUCAUGUAACUUGUUAGGAGCAUCAUCUGAAAACUGAGUAAAUUAUUCUCCAUCUCAUAUUACACCCAUUGCUCAUUUUAUCCAGGAACAUGGGUCCUCAUUUCUUUCAAAUAAUGCUUAUUUUUGUAAGGAUAUUUUUUCUUCUGGAAAAUUUGGGAAAUGUUAAGAGUACAAGGAAGAAAAUAAUAUUAACACAUUUCACAGUGUUUUUUUCUUUGCCUAUUUCUUUUAAAUAUGAGAUCAUCUGACAAUUUUAUUGGAUUUUUCUCUUAAUGUAAUAGAAGUAUUUCCACAUGGUGUUAAAAGUGUACUUUUAAGUAUCAUUUUUAUGCAACAGAAUGUUGUAAUAUCCCAUUGCAAUGAUAGUUUAUUUUCCCAAUUUUACCAGUAAUUUUAAGAAUAUUUCCUGUAGUUUUCUCUCAUAACUAUUGGAAAUGAUGCAGCGUCGGUGAGCGGAGGAUUCAAAAGAAAGAUUUCUGGGACUCUCAAGAUCUGGCGGUAGUGCUCUUUUAUUUAGAGAAUAGUGUGGAAUAGCAUGGGGACAGGACCCAUGGGCAGUCUGGCUGCUGCGUGGGGACAGGGCCCACGGGCAGGAGGAGGUGCUGCUGCCGCUGCUUCUGCUGCAAACAUGGGUGGAGAGUAAGGUUAGAUUUAAGGCAUAGGUAUGUGAGCCAUCUCUUUACAAGACAAAGGAAAGAACAUGUAAAAAAGUCAAAAUGGUAUCAGCGCAGGUGGGGUCUGGCCACUGGGCGGUCCCACAACUUUUAGAUAAGAAUCAAAUCGGAUUAAGUAAAGGCCAGAAGCCACCACCCUAAAUCAGUUACAUGAGGUUGACAGACCGUAACCAACUUAAGUCCUUGCCUUCCCCAUUAAGAGUUUCCAGAGAUAAGGCCAUCCCACCUUCCUCCUGGUGCAGAGGGGGAGGCAUGGAGAUUUCCUUCACAAAUGCAAAUAUCUCUCAUCAAAGAGCAAGCAAAUUCCAGUCCUUGGAGCCUGCUUCUCCUCUGCAGUUUUAAAAUUAACUAGCCUAAAAUCCUCAUCACUAAGAUGUGUGGUUUUGUGUGUGUGUGUAUGUAUGUGUGUGUGCACAUGUGUGAAUAAACCUAUUUCCAUCUUUCAGAUUUCCUUAGGAUAGAUUUCUGGAAAAGGUUCUAGACAUUUUUAAGGCUCUCGAUGCAUAUUGUUAAAUUGCUUUGACAUUUAGUUUUGCUAGAUUGCAGCCACAAGAUGAUGUCAAACAUCUUCCCCGCACAGAGUUGCUUUCUUGUUAAGCGGGGUUUCUGAGACCAGGGAGAGGUGGGUCCUGUGGAGGGGAAUGGGAGAGCUCUUCAGCAGUUCUCACUGUUUUCUCCUUGUGAUUUUGGGUUUCCCUUAAAUACAGCACUUUGCUGCUUGGGAAGUGGGAGCAGCUGCUCAGGACUGCAUGAAGUUUAUGCCCUGAGGUUUGCAUGAUUGAGUGGGAGAAUCCUGGCCUGAGCCUGAGGACCAUUUGCCGUCAGCCUCGCCUAUGAGAACUCUGGAAGGCCCCUCAGCUUCUGUCGUUCUGCUUUCUUGUUGGUUAAGGGUGGAUCUUGACACCUACUUCAGGGAUGCUGGAGGUGAAACGAGCUACUAUAAAUCUGACUGCUCAGCAGGGUAGCUUCCUAGUUUGGACUCCUCAAAGUCGGAAGGGACCCAUCCAAGCUCGUCAUUUGAUGGAUGACAAAGUCAGGCUCCAGAUGGUGAGUAGUUCUUUGGGAAUUUUCUCACUAUUUCCAUUUGUGUGCCAAAGGAAGAACACACACAUACACACACACAUGCUUGUAUGCACAGAUUAGAUCUGGAAGGAUACACCAAAAAAAAAAAAUGAUAAUAGCGACUGCUACGGAGGAGGCUAACUGGGGGCCUUGGGGGGGAAGAGGGAAGCUUACUGGUGUCUCUGUGACUCUUCAUUCUGUUGGAAAUUUUACUGUGUGCACGUAUUCGUUCUUCAAUUAAUAAGAAACAAGUUCUUAAAAAUCCACCAAGUAGUAAAACAUCUUUGAAUGCAUUCUGCUUCCUAAUGCAUCAAUAAGGAGCCCUGGGAGCACUCAGAACUCUGUUUGUUUUAUAAUUGCCCAUCUGAACCCAAGUCCCCCGAAUCCCAGGCCAGAGGGCUUUCUUCCACUCACACAGACCGUCUCCCAUCCCUUUGCUGGCCUUCCUUUUUUCCUUUCUGCCUUCUGGAAUCUGCCAACUGAAGUCCUAGACACCCAGCCCCUGGUCCCCAGGCAGCUGACCACCCUCUGGUCCACUCUCUGAAAUUGCCUGUAUGGGGGAGCCCUGGGCCUGACUGAGCAGGCCUGAGGCUGGAGGCCCUGGCCUCUCCUCCCCAGCCCCCUUCCUGGCCCGGCGCCUCCAGUGCAGAAGGAAGAGUCUGUGCAGCCUGUUCUCUCUCCUCCUUUGAACCAGGGCCCGUUCCAAGAAUCGCAGCGCUGUUUUGCCUGCACGGCAGGGUUGCGUGGCCCUCCCAGGCCUCAUGCGCCGAGUUGGCAGCUCCCUGGAAAAAUUUCUUCUCCCCUUUCUUUCUGGCACGGAGGGUGGAUUCCCUGCCCCGCCCUGGACAGUGCAUCUCAGGGGUCAUUUGAGUUGAAUCCUGAUGGAGCAUCUUGCUCUGCGGCCCCAGCGGGGCAGGAAGCCUGAAACUCUGAUCUUCCUCCCUCCCAAAAGCCUUGGAUCUGCAUCCUGGCCCAGAGCCCCCUCCCCUCCUUCCACUCAGCCCCCUCCCCUCCUUCCUCCCCAGCCCCCUUCUCUCCUCCCCCCCAACUCCCCUUCCCCAUUGCCACAGCUGAGGAGCCAGGCUGUUAUCGCCCAGUGACCACUCUUUGAAGGCUGUGGAGUUCCAUGGUGAGCAGUUUUUUUCUACCCAGGGACCAAUUCAGGAAACAUAAAAGCAUUUAUAGGCCACUUUUGUUUAUCCAUUCAAAAUGAAAAUGGCCAUAUUGAUGCCAUGGCCCGGGGUGGGCAGGAGAGCGUUGUGUCUCCUCACAGCUUGGAUUGUCCACUUUAUGAGAAAGAAGGCCCUUAUUAAGAAGUGCCAGUGCUGUCUGCCAUUCACACCUGGGCACAUUUCAGCAAAGCAGAGCCAACUGCCUCCUCUUUUCAUUCUCAAAGCAGACUUCAGGCCAAAUGAUCUUACUAUUUAUCUAGUUCUUUGUGGUACAGAUGAGGGAAACUGAGGCCCAGAGUGGACAUAACAUUCCCGAGGGAGAGACUUUGUAAGGUUCUGGGUAGUAAGACUUAUUAUUAUUGAUAACAACAACGACAAUAAUAAUAAGAAGCAGUAAUAGCAGUCACAAAGCAUGGGGCUUUUACUUUUCAGAUGGGACAGUGAAGGCUGGUGGCUUCUCUCUCUUCUGCCAGCAGCACAAGCCCUGUGGUGUUUAUAUUUCUCCUUGGCCAGGGAUGUAUUUUGAAAUUUAAAUGAUAAAGCAAACAAACUCUGUUUUCACUGAAGCUUUAGAAAACCUGCGUGAAACCUCUCCACCGUGGUUGGUGGUUUUGGAGCCAAGAUUGGCCAAAUUUCCCUUUCAACGUGGGGAGAGGGGGGCAUUAAGGACAGUCCAUCCACAGAGCGUGAAUGACGGCAUUCAUCUUGAUUGAGCUCAGCGAAUGAGCGCGAGGAUGAUGCGUGCCCCGCCAAACUCACCCUUUUAUGUAUGUGCUGGUGGCCAAUUUGUCUUUGCUCAAAAUGGAAAGCUGACAAGAUGGGCUAUUUUUCCUGUUAAAAAUAAUCACAUGCCAGAUGCUGUUCCAAGUUCUGCACCUCAACCAGUUAAAGAUUUUUGGAUGUUUUGCCCAGUGCCUGUUCAGAAGGACAGUCCUGCCCCAGGCCUCUCAGAGAUUGCCUGCAUUCUUCUCCUGACACUGGAAUGCUGCAUUGACAGUGGCUCCAGGGGAGUUGAGCGCUCCUCCCUCCUGCUCUCUGCUCCAGCCCAGCUGACCAGGCCUUUUACGUGCAUAAUAUUGAAUCUUCGUGGUAGCCCUGGAAAAACCAAAGUGAUUCUCCCCAUUUUAUAGAUGAGGAAACUGAGGCCUCAGAGAUGUAAAGGACCUUGCCCAAGGUCACGUGGCUGGCACUUUGGGUUUUUAAGACGAAAGCUGGAAAACUGUUUUUCCCUUUGAUGGCCCUCGGCACGGAAUUUGUUAAUGCCCGGCUACAGUGGCGGUGCCGGGCUCUUUGCCGGAGGGCCGUGUUUCUGAGGUGCAGUGUGCUGCUCCCAGCUCCCCUGAAGAUCUUCUGUCCCCUUCUUCCAGAGUAGUCCCGUCUGGGCCUGCAGAAA
Equus asinus (donkey) is the source of this 6196-nucleotide long non-coding RNA. The record is from Ensembl. Lineage: Eukaryota; Metazoa; Chordata; Mammalia; Perissodactyla; Equidae.